Oncorhynchus masou masou (cherry salmon) is the source of this 701-nucleotide long non-coding RNA. RefSeq lists it as uncharacterized. Lineage: Eukaryota; Metazoa; Chordata; Actinopteri; Salmoniformes; Salmonidae. The transcript has 3 exons. The record is from RefSeq and is a predicted model, not a curated record.
CAGUGGUCUGCUGAUAAAUGUACCAACACCUCUCAUUUUGCUGCCUGGGAAAGACACCAUGGAUCCUGGAUAACCAUCUUCCUGAUCCGGAUUUAACAUCAAAACAAUAAAGAAGGGGUCCUACCACUGCACCCGGGGGGGCCCCCAGGACUGACAACAUUUAUUAAGGAUCCCCAGUAGUUUCUGCCAAGGCAGCAGCUACUCUUCAUGUUUUUUUUUAAAUAGAAUUUGGGAGUGCAUCCAACCGGCCUCACUACUGCACACCACCUGUAACCCCGCCAGCCCAGGACCUCCACAUCCAUCUUCUUCACCUGCGGGAUCAUCUGAGACCAGCCACCCGGACAACUGAUAAAACUGGUCUUGACCUGACUGCAGUUCGGAGUCGUAACCGACAGUGGGCAAAUGCUCCCCUUCGAUAGCCACUAGCAUGCUGGAGAAGUGUGCUCUUCACGGAUUAAUCCAGGUUUCAACUGUACCUGGCAGAUAGCGAGUGUGUAUGGCAUUGUGUGGGCGAGUGGUUUGCUGAUGUCAACGUUGUGAACAGUGUUCACCAUGGUGAAGGUGGGGUUGUGGUAUGGGCAUGCAUAAACUACGGACAAUGUACACAAUUUCAUUUUUGUCAAUAUGAAUAAACAGAUACCGUGACGAGAUCCUGAUGCCCAUUGUCGUUCCAUUCAUCUGCCAGCAUCACCUCAUAUUUC